AGAAAUACCCCGGUGAAGUUUGUCGUAUGGCUGGAAUCAGCGUCUGAAAUGCGCUUACUACGCACAUGGCAAGACGACGUUCAGAAGAUGUCAGCUGUACAACUUUGAAAUCGGAAAAAUCAAGAUGUGCAUGAUACCAACAAGAAUGUGAACUUUUCAAAGAGCAUGAUAUUUCCAAGUUUUCUACAUCUUUAGAGCAACCACCACAAAUGUACUUGCAAGUACCCACAGAUGACAGCCAUAUUGACUCCAGCGGAUAAUAUUUACCUCCAUCAGCUGCUUACUACACUGUACAUAGUGGUCAA
Long non-coding RNA from Ostrea edulis (European flat oyster), 305 nucleotides. RefSeq lists it as uncharacterized. The record is from RefSeq and is a predicted model, not a curated record. NCBI's taxonomy places the organism in Eukaryota, Metazoa, Mollusca, Bivalvia, Ostreida, Ostreidae. The transcript is spliced from 3 exons.